This 555-nucleotide ribosomal RNA is filed under the name Chalcides boulengeri. RNAcentral describes it as "partial 16S ribosomal RNA". It matches the Rfam family "Bacterial large subunit ribosomal RNA", at positions 1841 to 2635 of the family's 2925-position model. The record is from RNAcentral. Lineage: Eukaryota; Metazoa; Chordata; Lepidosauria; Squamata; Scincidae.
AAGUAUUAAAGGUCCCGCCUGCCCAGUGAUAUAUUAAACGGCCGCGGUAUUCUAACCGUGCAAAGGUAGCGUAAUCACUUGUCUUCUAAAUAAAGACUAGUAUGAACGGCUAAAUGAGGACAAACCUGUCUCUUAUAACUAAUCAGUGAAACUGAUCCCCCAGUCCAAAAGCUGGGAUUACCCCAUAAGACGAAGAGGACCCUGUGGAGCUUCAAACUAACCACUAACAAGCACAUCAUUCAGCUGUUAAUAGUGUACAGUUUUAAGUUGGGGCGACUUCGGAACAAAACAAAACUUCCAAGCACGGAACCACAGGUUCCAACCAAGGCCCACAGGCCAAAGUUCAUAAACCGACCCAGUAAUACUGAUCAACGAACCAAGUUACCCCAGGGAUAACAGCGCUAUCUUCUUCAAGAGUCCAUAUCGACAAGAAGGUUUACGACCUCGAUGUUGGAUCAGGACACCCAAAUGGUGCAGCCGCUAUUAAAGGUUCGUUUGUUCAACGAUUAACAGUCCUACGUGAUCUGAGUUCAGACCGGAGCAAUCCAGGUCGGU